RNAcentral lists this long non-coding RNA (3992 nucleotides) under Zea mays. RNAcentral describes it as "long non-coding RNA NONZMAT001790". The record is from RNAcentral. Lineage: Eukaryota; Viridiplantae; Streptophyta; Magnoliopsida; Poales; Poaceae.
GGUUUCCUAAGGAAAAUUAGUUCAUUUUUUUUUUUGGGAAAAUGAAGUUUCCAAAAGGGUUUCAAAUCCAUGGUGGUGUGGGAAUUGAUUGCAGUAAAGGCGAUGGGUAAGCUGAUACCGGUGGGUUGAGAAUUAGACCAUCAGUAGCUUACUCUUUCCCAUAUUUAAACUAUAAUCUACACUACAAAAUAGUGCAAAAGGUGUUCAUAGUGACCUAUGAAUAAUAUAAUCUACACUACAAAAAUAGUCCAAAAGGUGUUUGUAGUGACCAUAUAUGGGUGUACAUUGUACCUUUUUACAUUGUAUUUGUAGUGAUCAUAUAUGGGUGAACUACUGUACUUUUUUAUAUUGUAGAUCGUAUUAUUUAUAGUGUGCAGUUUGAAUAUAGGUAAGCUGAUGGUCUUAUUGCCUGUCAAGUUCAUAUAUAAUAGUUUUGGGAUUAAUUUUUUUUGCGUCAUAGAAAUUCAUAAGCAUGUGAGUUUAUCACAUAUAUACAUCAGAAUAUUAACUAGAAUAUAUUUAAAAUUGGUUUCGUUCAUAUACUCGGAAUUGUGCCCAGCGGGAUUAUAUAAUUUAACAAAGAACAUGGUACAGAAUUAUAAGCCGUGACUUUAUACCAUUAUAUUAAACGUAAUUGGGAAUAUUUAAAUUGUUUUUCAUUCUAAUUGACUGCAUUUUGUUUAAGUCUCAAGGGUGCCGUGCUUUUAAUCUAGGGCCUAAAAUUGGGUGAUUAAGGGGCUGUUUGGUUCGUGGUCAUACUUUACCUAAGGUUAGUCGUUUGAACUGAAAAACUAAUCUUAGUCAGAAAAGUUAAGCAAAGUGUAGUAAGUUAGUCAUCAAACCAAACAGGCUCUAAAAGCAAGUUAAAAUCCACCGGAAUUGACUGCAUUUUGUUUGUCUUGUUUUCAUCAAUCCACCGGAAUUCAGUGAUUAAAUCUCGCAAGUUAAAAUUUUUCUUAAUUUGCUCAAUAUUUUUCAGCGAUAUCCGUUCUUUUGAAUGGGUCUAUUCACAGAAGGUUUGGUUGUGAACACGAAUAUUCAAUUGAUAUAUGUGUACUUUUUAAAGGUAUUUUAUGGUUAUUUAAAUGUAGCUGCGUCUGCUCGUUGAGGUGUGGAUCUUUCCUCAACACGGUGAGGUCAUCCGUUUGACUGCUAGCCUAGGCGUGCUGUCCCGGAUGGAUGGUGGUUCAAAUCCACCAAGAUUCUUUAGUAGUCGGAACUUAUUGCUCACCAAAGAACUUACCAUUGCUUUAGGAUGUUUUAUUUUUGUAUAUAGGCUUAGCCGGUUAGGGCCUGUUUGGAUCAGUUUAUAAGAAACUGUUUUUUGAAAAUUGAGGUGGUUCCAAAUAUAUCACUAGACUUUCAAACAGCAUCUUAGUUAAACAGGACCUUAGUUUUGAUACGAGGCCUGCACUCAGCCCGGCGGCGAUCAAAAUCGAACGUGUGGGAUCUCUGAUAUUUGACUAGGUCUGGUCGGUAGCAAACCAAACAUGUAAGAAUUUGUACAUAUACUCAACGUCUUAGAAUUUGCAGUUUAGAGAACAGAGAGUUUUUGUUUUUGUUUUUGCUUAGUUCACGUCUCUUUCAUCGAAGUGGCUUCUCAUUUUUGCCUAGACUCUUUAUUUUACAAGUAAGAAUUUCUUCCUAGAUUUUUAUGAUCCACGGGAAUUUACACUGAAUCUUUUGUCAGAAAAAUGCAAGAAUUUCAUAUAAUCCAGUUUAUUUUUAUUUUUUGAUAAUAAAAUUUCUCUAGUAAAAAAAUGUUGUAGGGCCUAGGAGUUCUAUAAUUUAUAAUUCAUACCGAAUUAUCAGCAAUCUCCUUUAUAGAAGUGAUAUAUGUAGAAAACAAAAAAAAAAGAUGGCAUUCACGUUUUCUAGAAGUGGUGAUAAUUUGAAUUUUGUCCAAAGUCGUACUGACAUGUUCCGUGCGAAAGGGCGUUCUCAAUGGGAAGAGGAAAACACUGUUUCCAAAGCUACCAUCUCAAAAAACACUAAAUCUCGUAUUUUUCUUUAUUAAAUUGUAUAUUGUGUUAUCUUAUUUGUUUACGUGACGUAUUAUUAAUAAAAAUAAAACUCUUAUGAAACUCCUAUUAAGAAUGACUUCAUUUAGAGUAAAAUUAUAAAAAAUUUACUAACAUUUAUGAUAUUAAGUAUAAUUAUUAUAAUAAUAUUUUUGUUUAUAGUAAAUCUACUUAAAGUUAAGAUACUUGGAGGCUCUUUGGAUCCAAACAAGUUCAGCCAAAGUGACUAAAAUGACAUAUUUUUAUUAUUUUAGUCACUUUUAACUAGCUUGGAAUGUGAUUGAACUUUAUUAAUGUUUGUUUUAGCACCUAAACAGGCUCUUAGAUCAUGGCUACUACUAAUAGUUAACUACUAGCUAAUAUGUCAUAACUACUAUGUAACUACUAUUACCCCUAUUAGGACUAGUUUAGGAACUUCAUUUUCUUAAGGAAUUUCUAUUUUUCAAGAGGACUUGGAUAAAUGAGGUUCCCAAACUAGUCCUUAACAAAUUUCACUCGACUAGUAAAAUAGUACUAUUAUUAGCUACUAGAAAAAUAUUGCUAACAAUCAGUUAAACUAUUAGCAACAUGUAUUUGGAUUCAAGAAAAUAAUUAUGAGUAGCUAAUUAGUAAUUACUAUCUUUCUUGAACCUAAGUAGGAUCAUAAUUAAUAAAAAUCCUAUAGUUUUUAGAGAGCCAAGAUAGGAUCAUAAUUAACAUAAAUAAUGUAGUUUAAUUUUUUGAUAGACAGUACUAGGGCAUGUUUAGUUUCAUUGUGCUAAACUUUAGCAUCACUUAAAGAGAUAAAGUGCUAAUGUAUGUUAAACUUUAGCAUUUUACUUUUAAUAUCUUCUAGUAUAUUUUAGCACUCAUGUUUGGAUUUACAAGAGCUAAAGUUUACUAAAGAUGUAGUGCUAAACUUUAGCAUUAUGGAAUCAAACAUGCCCUUAGAGUGUACAUAAUAAGAACUGCACAUUAGGCCUUAGACUGCCUUCAACAACUACCUUAUUUUAUUCUAUAUUUUAAACUUUACUCUGCAAUCAGUAUAAUCCAUAGUAUAAAUAAUAAAUCUCUUAUUUUACAUGAUCUAGUGUACAUAAUAAGAACUGCAUAUUAGGCCUUAGCUAUCUUCAACAACUAUCUCAUUUCAUUCUAUAUGUCAAAUUUUACUCUGCAAUCAGUAUAAUCUAUAGUAUAAAUCUCUUAUUUUACAUGAUUUGUUGUGGACAAUCUUUACAUGGAUGGCACAUGGACCUGAGACAACAUUGGACGACAUGUGAAACUUUCUUUGGACAAUAUUGGACAACAGGAGAAAGCUAGAAGGAGCAUACAAAUUUGAAUUCUGCUUCUUUUCCAACAUUGGAUAAUAUGAAAAACUUAGAAGAAACAUAGACAUAGGAUUCUACUUCUUUUCCAGUUUUUUUGUGGUAAAUAGAUCAUUAUUAAUUUGGCAUAAUUAUAUUCAUAAUCGAGCAUUGCAUCUAAUUGUGCUAAUUCAUUUGCUGCUGAAUUUUGCUUUGUUUUUAUCAGCUGAACCCUCCAACCAACUGAAGGCUACAAAUACUCCUCUGUUUGGACGAGGGUGAACAUGAGCUUAGACUUGUCCUCAUUCGAUUUGCAACGUCUCGACAACCCUUGCACGAUCUGACUCUACUGUUAGAUCGUCCGUACCCAUAGUUUAUCCAAAAGAAUUAUUUUACACGGUAUGUACUGUUAUGUGUUGUAGAUUAUAUUGUUAGAAAAGUGAAGUUUGAAUAUAUAGGUAUAGAGAUGGAUAAACUGUCAUAGAUUUAGUCUUAGAGGUACAACACCAUUCCGUUGCAAGCCUCUGCCUCAACAACUUGUGCCAUUUAAAAUCACUUGUCGUCUCUACCAGUCUGCCUCGUGCCAUGUAAAAAUCACUUGCCAAGCUGUAAAUUAGACAGUUGUACUAUCAUCUUUUGCCACCGCCUUCAAAAUUGUAUACAAGGAAUAUAUAUAUAGUGAAUUCCU